GUAGGUGGCAAGCGUUGUCCGGAAUUAUUGGGCGUAAAGCGCGCGCAGGCGGUCCUUUAAGUCUGAUGUGAAAGCCCACGGCUCAACCGUGGAGGGUCAUUGGAAACUGGGGGACUUGAGUACAGAAGAGGAAAGCGGAAUUCCACGUGUAGCGGUGAAAUGCGUAGAGAUGUGGAGGAACACCAGUGGCGAAGGCGGCUUUCUGGUCUGUAACUGACGCUGAGGCGCGAAAGCGUGGGGAGCAAACAGGAUUAGAUACCCUGGUAGUCCACGCCGUAAACGAUGAGUGCUAAGUGUUAGGGGGGUUUCCGCCCCCCUUAGUGCUGCAGCUAACGCAUUAAGCACUCCGCCUGGGAUACGGCCGCAAGGCUG
RNAcentral lists this ribosomal RNA (372 nucleotides) under uncultured organism. RNAcentral's name for it is "partial 16S ribosomal RNA". It matches the Rfam family "Bacterial small subunit ribosomal RNA", at positions 527 to 896 of the family's 1533-position model. The record is from RNAcentral.